CCUACGGGUGGCAGCAGUGAGGAAUAUUGGUCAAUGGGAGAGAGUCUGAACCAGCCAUGCCGCGUGAGGGAUGACGGCCCUAUGGGUUGUAAACUUCUUUUGUACGAGAAUAAACCCCGGGACGUGUAUCGGAUUGAGCGUAUCGUAAGAAUAAGGAUCGGCUAACUCCGUGCCAGCAGCCGCGGUAAUACGGAGGAUUCGAGCGUUAUCCGGAUUUAUUGGGGUUAAAGGGUGUGUAGGAGGUUUGAUAAGUUAGCGGUGAAAUGUCGGGGCUCAACCCCGAAAGGGCCGUUAAUACUGGCGGACUAGAGAAGAGGUGAGGUAGGCGGAAUGCAUGGUGUAGCGGUGAAAUGCUUAGAUAUCAUACAGAAGUCCGAUUGCGAAGGCAGCGUACCAAACUAUAUCUGACGCUGAGGCACGAAAGCGUGGGGAGCAAACAGGAUUAGAUACCCUUGUAGUC
This 460-nucleotide ribosomal RNA is filed under the name uncultured bacterium. RNAcentral's name for it is "partial 16S ribosomal RNA". It matches the Rfam family "Bacterial small subunit ribosomal RNA", at positions 338 to 795 of the family's 1533-position model. The record is from RNAcentral.